GACGAACGCUGGCGGCGUGCUUAACACAUGCAAGUCAAAGGAGAACACCCGACUUUGGUUGGAUUAGUAAACUGGCGCACGGGUGAGUAACGCGUAGGCAAUCUGCCUUUUGGUUUGGAAUAACCCACUGAAAAGCGGACUAAUACCAAAUGAUGCGACCUUUCCGCAUGGGAUAGUCGUUAAAGGUGCUCGGCUUCGGCCGAGUAUCGCCAAGAGGUGAACCUGCGUCCCAUUAGCUAGUUGGUGAGGUAACGGCUCACCAAAGCGACGAUGGGUAGCCGGCUUGAGAGGGUGGUCGGCCACACUGGAACUGAGACACGGUCCAGACUCCUACGGGAGGCAGCAGUGAGGAAUAUUGGGCAAUGGGCGAAAGCCUGACCCAGCAACGCCGCGUGAGGGAAGACGCUCUAUGGAGUGUAAACCUCUGUUAGGAGGGACGAAUGCCGUAAUGGUAAAUAAUCAUUGCGGAGGGACGGUACCUCCAAAGAAAGCCCCGGCUAACUCCGUG
RNAcentral lists this ribosomal RNA (508 nucleotides) under uncultured bacterium. RNAcentral describes it as "bacterial SSU rRNA". It matches the Rfam family "Bacterial small subunit ribosomal RNA", at positions 28 to 507 of the family's 1533-position model. The record is from RNAcentral.